AUGAAGCAGUGCUUUGCUUUCUGUGCUAUGUUUCCCAAAGAUUACAAGAUUGAUGUGGACAAGCUGAUCCAACUGUGGAUCGCACAUGGGUUUAUUCAGCACCAAAAUGAAGUUAGUCCUGAAACCAUUGGCAAGCGGAUUUUCAGUGAGCUAGCCUCAAGGUCAUUCUUUGUGGAUGUGAAGCAAGUCCAAGUUUCAUUCCACGGAACUAUGCACAUCGGGGAUAGUUAUUCCCAACAUACAUGUAAAAUUCACGAUCUUAUGCAUGAUGUUGCACUGUCGACAAUGGAAAAAGAAUGUGCUCAUGCACCCGAGGAACCAAGUCAGACUGAGUGGCUUUCAGAUACAGCUCGCCACUUACUUUUGUCUUGUGAAGAACCAGAAACUAUUUUGAAUGAUUCUAUGGCGAAAAGAUCUCCAGCUAUGCAGACACUUCUGUGUGAUUGUUAUAUGGAAGAUCCAUUGCAGCAUUUAUCAAAAUACAGCUCUUUGAAGGCAUUACGGCUCUGUACAUGGAGCAGAUCAUUUCCCUUGAAAUCAAAGCAUCUGCAUCACCUGAGGUACCUUGAUCUCUCAAGAAGUGGUAUCGCAUCACUUCCUGAAGAUAUAAGCAUUCUAUACAACCUGCAAACAUUGAACAUAUCUUGCUGCCGCGAGCUUCGUUGGCUUCCAAGACAAAUGAAGUAUAUGACUGCCCUCCGUCACCUCUACACUCAUGGUUGUCCAGAGAUGAGGAAAUGCCUAGUGACCUCCGAAAACUCAUUUCCCUACGGACACUUACAUGUUUUGUAG
Molecule: ribosomal RNA, 792 nt
Filed under: Triticum aestivum (bread wheat)
Lineage: Eukaryota; Viridiplantae; Streptophyta; Magnoliopsida; Poales; Poaceae
Description: partial small subunit ribosomal RNA
Source: RNAcentral